RNAcentral lists this ribosomal RNA (115 nucleotides) under Candidatus Desulfovibrio intestinigallinarum. Lineage: Bacteria; Pseudomonadati; Thermodesulfobacteriota; Desulfovibrionia; Desulfovibrionales; Desulfovibrionaceae. The record is from RNAcentral.
UUUGGUGGCCAUAGAGGAGAGGGUACACCCGACCCCAUUCCGAACUCGGAAGUUAAGCUCUCCAUCGCCGAUGAUACUGCAUAACGUCAUGUGGGAAAGUAGGCCGCUGCCAAAG